This 1211-nucleotide ribosomal RNA is filed under the name Plakortis halichondrioides. Its description in RNAcentral is "SSU rRNA". It matches the Rfam family "Eukaryotic small subunit ribosomal RNA", at positions 318 to 1552 of the family's 1831-position model. The record is from RNAcentral. Lineage: Eukaryota; Metazoa; Porifera; Homoscleromorpha; Homosclerophorida; Plakinidae.
ACUGUCGAUGGUAAGGUAUUGGCUUACCAUGGUUGCAACGGGUGACGGAGAAUUAGGGUUCGAUUCCGGAGAGGGAGCCUGAGAAACGGCCACCACAUCCAAGGAAGGCAGCAGGCGCGCAAAUUACCCAAUCCCGACACGGGGAGGUAGUGACAAUAAAUAACAAUACAGGGCUUUCGUAAGUCUUGUAAUUGGAAUGAGAACAAUUUAAAUCCCUUAACGAGGAACAAUUGGAGGGCAAGUCUGGUGCCAGCAGCCGCGGUAAUUCCAGCUCCAAUAGCGUAUAUUAAAGUUGUUGCAGUUAAAAAGCUCGUAGUUGGAUUUCGGCGGCGCGGCGUCGGUCCGCCUGGCGGCGUGUCACUGGCGCCGCGCGGCUUUCUCUCGAGGGCCGCGCGUGCUCUUGAGUGAGCGUGCGCGUUACUCGGGACGUUUACUUUGAAAAAAUUAGAGUGUUCAAAGCAGGCUUUGGGGCUUGAAUACAUUAGCAUGGAAUAAUGGAAUAGGACGUCGGUCCUGUUUUGUUGGUUUCCGGGACCGAGGUAAUGAUUAAUAGGGACAGUUGGGGGCAUUCGUAUUCAAUUGUCAGAGGUGAAAUUCUUGGAUUUAUGGAAGACGGACGCAUGCGAAAGCAUUUGCCAAGGAUGUUUUCGUUAAUCAAGAACGAAAGUUGGAGGUUCGAAGACGAUUAGAUACCGUCGUAGUUCCAACCAUAAACUAUGCCGACUAGGGAUCGGACGACGUUAUAGUACGACUCGUUCGGCACCUUGCGAGAAAUCAAAGUUUCUGGGUUCCGGGGGGAGUAUGGUCGCAAGACUGAAACUUAAAGGAAUUGACGGAAGGGCACCACCAGGAGUGGAGCCUGCGGCUUAAUUUGACUCAACACGGGAAAACUCACCAGGUCCGGACACAGUAAGGAUUGACAGAUCGAGAGCUCUUUCUUGAUUCUGUGGGUGGUGGUGCAUGGCCGUUCUUAGUUGGUGGAGUGAUCUGUCUGCCUAAUCGCGAUAACGAACGAGACCUCAACCUGCUAACUAGUCACGCGCCUUCCUCGCGACGGCGCGGUCGACUUCUUAGAGGGACCAUCGGUGUGUAACCGCUGGAAGUGUGAGGCAAUAACAGGUCUGUGAUGCCCUUAGAUGUCCUGGGCUGCACGCGCGCUACACUGACGGACUCAGCGAGUGUUGACCUGCGUCGAGAGGCACGGGUAAUCU